RNAcentral lists this ribosomal RNA (247 nucleotides) under Serratia marcescens. Its description in RNAcentral is "partial 23S ribosomal RNA". It matches the Rfam family "Bacterial large subunit ribosomal RNA", at positions 2702 to 2925 of the family's 2925-position model. The record is from RNAcentral. Lineage: Bacteria; Pseudomonadati; Pseudomonadota; Gammaproteobacteria; Enterobacterales; Yersiniaceae.
CGCACCACUGGUGUUCGGGUUGUCAUGCCAAUGGCAUUGCCCGGUAGCUAAGUGCGGAAAAGAUAAGCGCUGAAAGCAUCUAAGCGCGAAACUUGCCUCAAGAUGAGUCUUCCCUGGGCCUUUAAGGCCCCUGAAGGAACGUUUAAGACUAAGACGUUGAUAGGCUGGGUGUGUAAGUGCAGCGAUGCAUUGAGCUAACCAGUACUAAUGAUCCGUGAGGCUUAACCUUACAACACCGAAGGUGUUU